UCAGCGUGCUUAUACAUUGAUAAAGAUAAUAAAAGUGAUGUAUACGGAAAAUGCAGUGGUAGCCACAGCACCUGGAAGCAGGAGCCUCAUGGGCAGUGUUCAGGAAGUGCUGGCUGGUAACUUGGACCGGACAGUUUAAGGAGAAUCCAUGGCAUCUGGCCUGCAACUGCAGGGGCCCAGCGCCCUGCCAGGGCUGCCCAUCUACAUCACCGGGAGUGCCCCCCUCUCACAGCUGUGCGGCCUUGACAUCAGUGCCUUGAGUUGCGAAUCUAGCCAAACAGGGAUGGGUAGUCAGAUCUGUUUCUUAGCUUAGUUCUGGGGCAAACUGACUGAAGGGCAAGGUGAAGGGAAUGGAGGACACAGCUUAACACAAUUGACUGCCUGCAGCCGGUCACUUUCAGCCUGAGGAGCGAGGAAGCGCUGAACCCUCCUGGCUCCCUUCAGAUCCACUCAGGGUUGUUGCUCAUGUGCGCCCUCCCUAGGCCUGGCUUUCCUCCCAUGCAGUGUUUGGGGAGCACUUUCCUCAGAGGAGAAUAUUUGCAUAGGUUCUUUCUCUUACUAAAUAUCCCAGUCAACUUUCAAGUUAGAAACACAUUGCCCUUAACCCAUUUGACAAAACCAUAGGUUAGCACUUUAUGCAUUUGCAAAUUGCAUCAAAUCAAGCCCUUGAAAAGUACAUUCCGUGGGGACAGAGUGCCUUUGUCACCAGUUUACCACGUAACCCCAGGGCACUGCCAAGUGCCUGUAGUGCAACAUUUGGAAUGCAUCAGCAGCCCAAAACAUGACAAAUGAUUUUGUAAAAGCCAUGCUGCAAGUAAAAUGGGAUUUUAAAAAUGCAUUUGAACAUGUUUUUCUUUGGUUGGAUCAGCCAUAUGUAAGCUUCACCUAUGGCAACAGUUUUCAUCGGAAGCUUAUUAUAGCUUAAUAAAAGGCUGUGUGGGUGGUACCGGAGCCUCGUGCAGAGCUGCAAGAACAUCGGGACUCUGGCUUUUGUCUUCUUGCUUUGCUGAUGUGAAAUGGGUUCAGUUUUACCUGGAUCAGGCCGAUUUACCAUCACUGCAGGACACAAGCUAGGUUUCGAAGCUGCCCAAGCAGAAGGUGUUGUUUAGAGAGGACCUGGGAGGGGACCUGUGAGAGUGAGUGUGAGAGCUGGUGAUGAGGAUGGUGCCCAUUGCCCACUAUUGCUGAGAGCUGAGUGAAAUGCCAGGUGUAAAAUUCUUUGCAUGGCCCUUGCCCUGGAGCUGACUCCAUCCAUGGUUGACAUUAUUGUGACUGUUGCUUUCCCCCGCUUCCAGGGCCUGUGCAGUGUUUGAUUCUGGGUACGCAUGUCACAGUUUGCUGUCUGGCCUGUUUAACUGCCGUUCCUCAGGACACACUGGCCUUUCCUCUGGAGCACAAAGCUUCUUCUGGCCUUGGUGUUGUCUCAUCUGUUAGUUGACCCUGCUGCCAGCCUCAGUCCUGGCUCUACCUGUGGCAGCUUGCUGUGGACCUUCAGGUAUCCCUGGUAUCUCUCCCCAGCCUCCAGGCUGGGGUGUCUGUCUUACUGUGUUUCUUUCACUGCAUGUUUCCACACCUGAAAUCGUCUUGUUCACUUCCCUGUUUCCUCCUGUUGUCCAUUUUCCCCCUGGACUGCAAACACCUUGAAGGCAGGGCUUCUUCUGUCUUAUUCGAGGUCUUGUGGCUUCACUUGGCUCUGUGUCGAGCACAUAAAGGGCAACUAACUGUUCAGUAUCUGCUCAAGGUCAAUGUGCAGUUGAGACUCCAAACACAGAGUUUCCUAGGGAGGGAUGGGAUGCGACACUUUGGAAUAAGUGUUAGACUGGGAUGGCUGCAUAUUAGGAAAGCCUGCGAUCUGACCUGUCAUUGCUCUUUCUCCCCACUGUCCCUUUGCUCCAACCUGCACCACUAGGAAGAAGACAGAGAGUAACAUACAGGUGUUUGGAACAGGCUGAAAGGACACCAGAGUCAUUUGAGUGGGAAGGUGUCCUUUGAGGUGUGCUUCACAUCAUAAGCUGGCUGUCAUCUUUCUACUCACUCCAAGGUAUUAGAGACGGAGAUGAACUAAUAUUUAUACAGGUUGUGAGCUGUGUAUUAUAAUAAAUAUCAUGGAGGGAAGUAAAACUAUAGUUUCUGUAAAAAAGAAUUAUUAGAGGAGGCCUACUUUAGAUCAGAUGAUUAAAAUAAAUGUAUGGUCUAUAGUUUGUCAUGAAGAGUAGACAUUUUGAUAUCCCUUCCACCAGAUUGCUCCUCCUCUUGAAGCACCUGGAUAAUUUGUCUCUUUUGCCUUCCACUGGUGAUGUUUGCAUCUGUCGUGGGACGCAUCUGUCUGGGAAGCGCCCUUGCCUUGCCACCCUCCUGCUGACAAGAGUGCGUGGUGUGUGCCACAGCAGAGCCUGGCAUCUGUCCAUGAGCACAGGGACAUUCUGUGGGGGUGAGCCAGGACUGCAGUGGGGUGACUAUGGGUGACACAAUCAGCUGUGUAUUUCAACGUAGCUAAUAGAGGAUUUUGAAUGUUUCCAAAACAAAGAAAUGAUAAAUAUUUAGGGUGAUGAACACGCUACCUACCCUGAUGUGAUCAUACACGUUUCAUACGUGUACUGAAGUGUCACGCUGCACCCCAUAAAUAUGUACAAUUAUUGUAUCUCAAUUACAAAUAAAAAUAAUUUUAGCAUUCACAUAGAUGAGCAAUCUUUUGGACAUGCUAAAAAUCUAAAAGCUCCAUUAUGAUGACCAACAACAAAGUAAACAUCUAUGUGUGUACUGAAAGUAUGUAAGUUUUAUGAUACAUAAAUAAAAAAAUUUUAAAGGAUGAUCUUCAUAGUCCAAAGAAGAUGAAAAAUUACUGAAUUUUAUAUGUUAGCUUCAAGUGUGGAAUGCAUCAGUCUGUUCAGGUUUGGUGUCUGGUUGCUUAGCUAUCAAAGGCUUGUCUGGACGUGGCUGUGAGUGGCUCACUUAGGAAAAAGGAUGGAGGGUUCCUCAAGGGGGAAGAUACUCUGCUGCAGGCUGCCCCAGCUUCCAGUCUGCCGGCUCCCUGCAGAGCUCAGGCCCAACACUGCGAUGUCGGUCUCUACGUACGUUCUCCGCUUGCCAGCCUGCCCUAUCGAAGCCAGACUUGCCAGCCCCGACAAUCGUCAGAGCCAGUUCCUGAAAUAAAUUUUUCUCUGCUCUUGGUUCUGUUUCUGUGGAGAACCCUGACUGAUAUGCAGAGGGAAACGAAAUAUUUCAAUGGCUUUGAUUUGGUAAACCUUGAAAUCAUAGAGUAUGUUCUGACCUAUUUACAGGUAUCAUGUGGCUUGUGCAUGUCAGGGGGCUCAUGUUCCACCUGCUCAUUUUGGGGAAUAUUGGGGAUCAUGCUCGGGGAUGGCUCCUGGCUCUGUGUUCCUGUUUCAGCUUUGCACUGCAGAAAGCAAGGGUUCCUUCCUUUCAGUGUUUGCUGUGGUAUUCAGGAUGCUGGGGAGGGAGUCCAGGCUGACGUUUCUAGGUAGAAUUCUCAUCAGAGUGGGCACCUCUCACACCAAAUAGACUUGGACUUUGUUCUGCCUUGAACCUGAAUGAGGAGUCUUUUCUGAAUAACUGCUAUGUGCCAGAGCCUAUAUUGUGCCCAGCAUUCCUACUGUGUUGGGCUUUGGGGACCUGCUGGACAGUACUCUUAGCGUGCUUAUAGUUUUGCUAAGGGAAGGAACGAAGGAGGAGAGCCUAUCUUCGUUGUGAAAAUAGACAGCAGGAGUUUUACAAUGGAAUUAUAAACAAAGAAGCAAACAGCCUUCAGCCAGCUAUCUGGUCAACCUUGAAAGGACCCUGUGACUUCAGGGCCUGGGAGUGAUGGGUGGAGACACACCAGGGUUCACGUGCUGGUGUGCAUUGCUUGAUGGCUCUGGGACUCCCUGCAGUAGGUUACAGAAUGGUUUGCAGAGAAAAUAAUUUAGAGUUCCUGACCUUUUGCAAGUCUUUAUUUUCCUAGAAUUCCUGUUCCCUCAUCUCUAGCCUCCAUUUCCUCACAGACUGGGGCAAGGCCUUACCAGAUGAAAUGCUGCUGGUAAAAGGUUAUGUGCUGAGUGCAAAGAGCCAUGUUUUAUUUGCCAAGAAAUGCAUCCCGAUCUUCAUGAAAUAAUGUUCUGAGGCAAAUGCAGCAAAGCCGGGCCAGUGCCACUGUGCUUGCCCAUUUCUGAGCAUCUGGAGACAGCGUGUUUAAGACAGGUGGUGUCAUCAAAGACACGCACUUGGCAGCUGGAGUACAUUCCAAAACAAUGUGCAUCCUUCCUUACUCUUCUGGAAUAUUACAAAGAGGGCUGCUUGGAAGUACUUCAUUAAAUAUGUCUUUGUUUUUGAUACAGGGUCUCACUACGUAGUUCAGGAUGGUUUUGAAUUCACUAUGUAGCCCAGACUGGCCUCAAAAUGGAGACAGUUUGCCUGUCUCAGCCUCCCAAGUGCUUUUAAAUACCUAUUUCCCCCACCUGCUCAUUUCCAUCACACCCUGUUCAUUUCCAUUAUAGUUCUUUCAAACUGCCCUCAACUCCUCAGAAAACAUUUCAGCCUAGACCAUUUCCCCAAAUCUCUAGAUUCUCCUCUGCUGGCUCCAAUUCCCCUUAUUUUGACUUCUCUGAGGCUGAUACCCAGAGGGGAGUGCAGGUCCUCUGGAGUCUUGGGUUUCUGAGACACUUCAGGGUGUGUAGUGGAGCUGGACAGAGCCAGGACUCACCCCCAUAAGGUAAGGAAGGACAGAAGUGUUGAUUCAAUACCGUAUUUGUCUUGUCAUGUGAUUGGCCACUUAUUCCUACUGUAGAGAAGAUUUGUGCUUCCCCUCCUGUGAAACUUUGAAUCUUUAGCUCUGCUGAAAUAAACAGACGGUAGACAAAUUAACAGGAGAAGAGCUUAGCUUUACUAAUAGGCAGGUGAAAUAAUGAAAUAAUGGAAACCUUAAGAAAGUUGAAACUCAGAGAAGACCUGAAUUGUGAAAGCUUAAAUUCCCUCCUCACAGCAGGAAGGGAAGUGCAGAAGGGAUAGCUGUAGGCAAUUCACAGGAUGACAAAUGAUUUUUGUUCUUGUAAUGGGAAUCGAACUUAGGACAUUGCGCUUGCCAGGUAGGUGCUGUGCCAGUGAGCUAGUCCCUGGCCCAGAAAAUGAAUUUUUAAGAGCAUUUACAUGGAUCUGGGCACCAGACAGUGGCCUGGGACAGAUUCCCUGGGCUGUAGAUGCGGUGUUUGAUUUUCAGUCUUUCCUUCUGUGAUAGGAGUUUAACAUGCUUGGGUUAAGGACCUGGCAGUAUGAAGGUGAGAUGGCAGUUGGGUCUCUUUCUUUAGGUCUAGUUUUUAGGGAGGUGCUGUGGCUGUGUCUAGAUGUCCCCCAAAGCUUCACUGGGUCUUAGGUGUGCCUUUUUCAGUCCGGAUCUAAGUUGAUUCAUGUAUGAUUGACUAAUGAUGCAAUGCUGGGAUUAAGGGUGGGUGGUCGAUAAAUCAGUCCACUGAUUGGUUUGGCACCAUCCUAAUUCCAGUAACCUAGAUACGGUAUGAAAUGGGCAGAAAGAUGCUGUGAAGGCCCCUUCCUCGCUUCUUUUGCUGUCCUCACCUGCCAUGAACUAUUUUUUCUUUGUGAUCCCUGCCUUCCAUACACCCUGCCUCAGACCCAGCUAACAGUGGACUGAAACCUCUAUAAACAGUGAGCUAAAUAAACCUUUCCACCUUUAACUUCAGGUGUCGGGUGUAUGGUCUCAGCCAUGAGAACAGUAAUAAAGAAGUAGACAAGGGAACUUUCAGGGAAGCCUUUGCUGCACUUUGGGGGAGAGUAGAGACCAUUCUCUUUCCCUAGUCCUGCACAGGUCAAAGUGCUGCACCAAGUCAUUUCUGAGCUCCAGCGCAGCAGAGCAGCCUACGGGGAUAUGGGAACCCACAGUAAGGGCCUCCAGCCCCACGUGGAGAGGUCCAAUGGGGCGUUGGAGUUGGGACUUGGAGGUUGAGGACCAGAGCAUCAGUGUGGUAGCACACUGGGAAUUAGGGAUGGAGAAACAGUCCUGGGUGUCUGGAACAUCGGAGACUUGUGGGGAGGAGACAGAAUACCACCGGAUGGGUGAUCUUGAGCUCUAUGUGGCAUAAGCUAGCUCGACCCAGCAACUCUCCUUUUCUUUACUGCAGAUGCCUCCUCGGGGCUGCUAGGUGCUUUGCUACAUGGUCAGGAAUGUGGGUCACACUUCUCCCCAACCGGAAAAGCCUCAGCUUUAUGUUGGCAGGGUCUUCUGUUUGUGGAAAGAUGGGAAACCACCUAGAAGGCCAGUGCUCCUCCUCCAGACCUGCCAGCAGACGGGAAGCCCAACAUGCUGCUUUGAUUUAGGCUUCAGCCAGCAAGGCCUGUGCGCUUCACCUACGAAGGAGGAGUGUGUUAAUUCAGGACAGAUGGCGCUUGAGGCCCGCUGCCUGUGAAGACUGGUGGUUCUGGGCUCCAGGGUCAGGCAGGAGGGCCUCAUGCUGCAUUUGUCUCCUGUCCUUACAGUUCUUCCUCUCAUCUGUGGCACUUCCGCGUCUUUGUCUGUGAUGACUUUGACACGUCUGAAGAGGCUGCUCAGUGAUUGUGGGACCUGGUUUUGUGACUGGGUUUGCAGAGUUGAGCUGCACCCUUCCUUUCUGAGGGGAAGGCCACAGGAGCAGCCCUCCAGCCUUUUUGGGUCAGCAUACGCGGAGCCAUGUAGUGUGGACAGACUUUGCCAUUGGUGACGCCCAUUUCAAUCACUGGUUUCAAAUUUGCUUUACAGAGGGGCCUCCGGUAUAGAAGUACUCUUCUGCUUUGUACUUAAAAUGUGUGGCUCCUGGGGAAGCAUCGUGCUGUUUUCCUCAUGAUUCCUCAUUAUUAAUUAAUAAUAAACUAAAAUUUUAUAUUUUAUGUUUUAUAACUCAGCUGUGGUGUUAUGUGUGCUCAUAUGUCAAAUAUAUAUUUUCUAUUUGCUCUUACUGUUUCUCCUUAUAUUGUGUUCAUCUCUUUUACCCAUUUACCAUAAUAAUUCAUGAGCAAUUUAAUAAACAGUUUUAAAUUCAUAAAAAUCAUUUUGCCAGAAGCAUGUCAUUGACUGUGGGAUUGACAGGAAGAGAUAAAUGAGCAGGGCUCCAGCGUUGCUUUGCAGAGCCUCUGGAGUCAGCCGGACCUCACCUGCCUCACUCGAGACAGUGCUGUACCCUAAGUACUUCCUCACCACUUUGAACUCCUGGGUAAUCACCUGCAUGCUGCAGUGGCUGUGGUGAUUGCUCUUCGCAUAAUAGAUGGCACAUCAACCAAUGUUCUCAUGCCCGAUGUGUCCCUAACUUGACAGCACUCCAGAGUCACCUGGGCAGCUGAAAAAGUUCCUGGUGAUUGGGUCUCACCUUCAGGGAUUGAGAGAUAACGGGUGUGGAGACUGCCCCAAAGGUCUAGGGAGACUUUUAAAAGGUUUCCAUAUUCUAUUGCAUAGCCAAAGUUGGGGAUCUCACGGCUGGAAACUAGUCUGUGGCCUGAGUUGUAAAUGUUUUUUAUUUUGUACAUAAAAAUCUAUGUAUUUAUUAUGUACUGUUAACCAGAGAACUUUUGUUUGGUGUCUUCUAAACUUAAGCAAAUAUUCGCAUUCAGAGAUACACCACAUACGUAGACAGCCAAAGAUUGCUUUACAGGGUAAAUGACCCUAACUUGAAAAUCCAAAACCCAGUAUACACCAAAAUCCAAAACUUGUAAAGCACUGAUAGGAUACCACCAGGUGACAAUUCUAUACCAUGAACUUUAUUUCAUGCCCAUGAUUACUAAAAAUGUAUGAAAUUACCUUCAGGCUCUAUGCCUCAAGUGCAGGUGAAACCUAAAUGAAGGCCAGCCUGGGUCCCAUCCCUAGGAUAUCCUGUUACAUAGACAGAUCUUCUGGUGUCCCCCAAAUAGUCUGAAAUCAUACUUCUGGUCCCCAGCAUUUUGAAGAAGAGAUAUUCAACUUGUAUUACUCCUUUUUGCUUAUGAGGAUGGGGCAAUUUUUUAAAAUUUCCUAGUGCCUUUUCUUCUUUCAUCUAUGAAAUAGAUAUGUUAGUAUCUGCUUUCUGUCACUAUGCAAGCUUAAAAAUUAAACUUCGUACUCUUUGUGUAUCUCAUGAAAUCAUUUUGGAGAAUGAUUGGGCGAUACCAUAGCGAGCUAGAUUUGAGUCUCCUGCCCCCUGCGAAGAUCUUCAGGCUCUUUGACAGAGUUCUGAUUUGGGCUAAUGAGCACUGAGGGUUGGUUUUGAGAAGUCCUGGAGCCACCUUGGUGAUGGCUCUCCAUGGCCAGUAUUAAUGAAAGACCUGAAAAGAUAGAAAGCUCUUCCUCUCCCUGGGCGCAGAUGGCUUUUGCUGUAGCUAAUGUAAUAUGCUGUUGGUUUUUUUUUUUUUUUUUUUUAACUAGCUGUUGUGUUUGAUUUUUCCUCUUAUUUUAUUUAACAUCUGUUUUGGACUUUGCUUCACACACACACCUGAUACCAUGGUUGAAUCACUUGUGUGACAGCCUAGGGCUUUGCUCACAAAUGCCAUAUCCCCAAAUGAAAAUUAGAAUGAAGUUAAGUCACCGAGCAAGUGAGAGAUAAAGCCAGAACUAGAACUGAGUUGUUCUGCCAUUGUCCACAGUUCUUUUUAUGUUCUGAAAUUCUUCAUUUAUUACAAAUAAUAGCUGCUAUUUGCCAGACAUUUACUGUAUACCAGAUAGUGUUGUAUAGUUUAUAGGUGCUAUAAUUCUCACAGUUUAAUCCUCAGAGGUAUAUUGAGGUUGAAAUAAGUGUUCAUUUUAAAGAUGAGGGAACCAUAAUAGUAAUUUAGUAAAGACUUACCUUGUCCCCAGCACUGUUCAAAUAGUCUUGUUUGAAUUUGUUGCCCAUUAGCUUAUUUGUUUAGAAGGGAAGUGUCAUAGUGUCAUACACUAUGCCUAGUGUCAUACAACCUGUGAACUCAGAGCUGAGCAUUAAAUCCAAGCUAGUUUGAUGUCAAGGCUUGAUUUACCUGAGCAUUGCAUUGGGUUAUUUUGCCAGAAGCUGAUGUUUGGUCAGCUCCAUGACACUUAGAUGCAGAAAUCAGGACAGGAUUUCAUCUCACACCAGGCUUGGUGAGCCAAAUUCCACAGCACAGGACACAGAGGGACUGCAGAGGCCCUGGCAACUGGUGGCUCUGAUUUGGUGUGUCUCUGUAUCCCUGUGAUGCAGUGACUACAAAGGAGGGGGAGCCCUGUGUUCUGUGAGGUUAGAUUUGUGAGUAGAGAACAGUCUUCUGUUAAUAUGUGUGCUGAGGUACACAAAGGCUUCUAUUGGUUUUACACUAGAGUGUGUCCAGUGAAAUUAGUGUGGGUCCGGUUGCCCUUGCACUUCUUCAGGAACUGACGGCUCUGCAGAAAGCCAGUUAGGUGCCUUCUUGCUCAUCAUUUGCAGGAAUGCUGUUAUUUCUGAGGGUGCUGCAGGGAGGGUUUUGUAAAUGCUGUCCCAGGUCUCUAGUUUAAUCUGGUAUGUUCAGUGCUGGAGUCUUUACUCAUUUGCCUUUAGAAUACCCACAUUUCUGCAGCCUUGCAAAGCCCCAGUUCUUCCUCUGUGCCAUCCUAAGAAAUCCUUCUACAGAACAAGUGCCUGCCUCUGUUACAGAUAGUCCUGCUUGAGUCAAUCUCUUCUGGCCACUGAACUGCCACAAACUGAGCUUCUGUCUAUUGCGAUUUGGAUCUGAAGUAUCUCGGUGCCCAAGGCAGCAGCACUCACAGAUAACACUUCCCCCUGCCUCACCAAGGCUUUCUGAGCAUUCUGGUGGGGGCCUGGCGGGCAGCAUCAGGCAGCACCAGGUUCUGUGUGUCCUGGGAAGUGAUGAGAAAGGUGGUGGGUUCUAGUCAGGCAUCAACAGAUUUCUGCUCUUUUUUCUUAUAGAAAUCUGUGGUUGAGGCCGUGCUCAGUAGAGCCCCUGUAUGAGGAUUCACAUCCUCUGAGCUUGUGCAGCAUCCUACUCUGGCCAGCAUCUGCAGACUCUGGGUUUGGAGGGAGGAGAAGUUUAACACACACACGAUGAGCAGUAAUUGAGCUCUCACUGAGGAACAAAUCUGACAUUUGCGCACAUACAUCAGGGUGAGAUCAGCACUGAGAAGAUGAAGUUAAAAAAAAAAUUAAAGGGCAGGGCAGAGCUGUGCUCUUUUUUUAUAACUGGUGAUCAUUUGCUUUUCCAGUGCCUUCCAGAGAGGCCGAGAGGCCGAGAGCAGGAACAGAAAGUCGCGAGACACAGAGCCCAUGUGGCAAGUAGGGAUUAUUGCAGAUCAGCCCACAGGUGACAUGUGCUGUUCAAAUUAAAACCAAGAUGGGAUGCCAUUUGGCCUAUUAAACCGGCAAAAGGUUUUGGAGAGAGGAAGGGCUCUGUUUAUUCUGAGUUGCCAGUGAUCGUAACACUCAGGCUCUGAGGUGUGGGGCAGUAUACACUUCCAUAUGCCGUGCUUUCGAAUGCACAGUUCUGGUUCAGAACUUCUGCUAAGACAUUAGCAAGAGGGUAUACAAUGUGUAUGCCUCUGGCUGCAGUAAUAUCGGUUUGAGGAACACUUGUUAAGGAAAUAAUCUAAACAAAGAAAGAAAAGGCUGUAUCACUCAGCCAUUUAUAACAAUAUUUUUUCAUUACUGCAAAUUGGGAACAAUAUAGCUAUCUAGCAAUAAAAUUCUGAAACAUUCUAGCAAUAGGUGAUUGGAAUAUUAAUGUACUGAAAUAACAUAGCCCCUAAGAGUGACGCAGAGAUCUUUAUGACAUGAGGAAAGCUCUUGCUUUAUUGAAAAUGAAUGCUUCCAUUUAGUUCUGUAUAUUAAAAAAUAAUGUGGAAAGAAACCAGAAAGAAAUAUAGCAAAACAUUAGUGAUGCUUGCGUCUGAGUAGUGGAAUUUUCUCUCCCUCCCUCUUUUAUUUUAAUUUUCUCUGUAUGCUUGGCUUGUUUAAUUCUGCUCUGUUCAGAAAUUUCCCAACCAAUUAAUACUCAUUAGAUGCCAAUUAUAUAUCAGCUCUGGUUUGUUAUAGCUCUGUAUUUCUUAGAAGUACUUUUGUUUCUAUUUGUUCAUAAAUGGAUUCCAGUAGCGAGAGCUGUCACAGUUGAUGAGGACUUAUGUAUCCCCCGUGCUUUCUCCACAGCGAAUGUGCUGUCUGUCUCUGUGAGUUCUCCAUCACUCUGUUUCUGCCCUUACUUCAUAGUCUCAUGAACACUACUGACCCAUGCUGCCUGGAACGUGGCUUUCAGGAAUGGUGCUAGCUUUGCCAUGAAAAUGCCAAAGAAGUCUCUAUCCAGUGGCUGUUAGCCAUGCAAACAUGAAGGAGAAUGCCCUUAGGAAAGUGGUCAGCGAAAAAGCAUUAAAAUCAGCAGGCAGUAAGAAUGAGGGCCUCUGACAUUAGGAGGCAUCGUAAACAUCACCAUACCUGGAUCAGUCAGCCAGCAAUUGUGAAGAGGAGUGGGCACUGAGUGCCAGGAAAUGUGGGUGGGGAAGUGACACGAUUUCAGAAGACAGGAUACUCAUAGUGGUGUUGCCAGCGUACUGAUGCAGACCUUUGUCUCCAUAAAUCCUAGGCUGCACCGGCCUGGUGUGAUUGGUUUAGUCAGCCCUUUUAUUUCCAGGAUUGCAUGGUCUCCAACAUGGCUCACACACUUACACAAACUCAAGUGCAUGUGCGUGCACACCAAUGUGCUAAAAUUGGCUGUUUCCAUGACUUUACUAUUGGAGGUGCAUUUACUUUUAAAAUGAUGGAGGGAAGGAAGGAUGGAAGGGAAGAAGGAAUGAAGGAAGGAUGGAAGGAAGAGGUCAGAAGGGAAGAGAAAAGGAAAAAAGUGCUUUUCCAAGGAAGAGCUCCAAGUCGUAGAAGCUCCUUCCUCUCUUGCUCCCUGCCCAUCUUGCCAGGUGUUCUUAGUUAAGGGCACCCUGCAGCAGAGGUGAGAAUGUGAUGGCCACAAAGAAGAUGAGAAAGUAUCAGACCCGAUCCACUGUAGGCUCUGGCCUGUUGUAACACACAGGAAGUAUGUGCCAGAGGCACAAGCAGACCCUGAAGAUGGCACAAAAAAGCCAAGUGAAAUUGGUCAUUCUUGCCUGCAGCUGUCCAGCUUUGAAGAAAUCCGACAUAGAGUGUUAUGUUGUGUUGGCCUAAAUGUGUCAAUCACUACAGAGGCGACAAUAAGGGGUUAGUCACAGCACGAGAGAAAGACUGCAGAGCACACACUCUGGCCAUCACUGAUAGCACUGGAAGCAUGCCAAGACAGGCUGGGGAAAAGGAAGCAGUGCAAAAGUUUUCUCAAACAUAACUUGCAAGAACUUGCUAGAGAAGAGUUUUUCCAGUGAGAGCUGUAUGUUAGCUGGACCUCAGGUGGUUGUGUCAGACCUGCUGGGCAAGUGUCAUUCUGAUACCAGGCUAAGUGAAUUCAUGAUUUUAGUGCUGUGGAUGCCGUCUGGGUGGGGCCUGGUAGGAUAGAAGGUAAAUCUCUGGGUCACACAUGACUGGUCACCUGGGCUGUGGGCUUUGCUCUAAUUGUAGAUAACACUCAGUUGUUUGGGGCUCACUUUCCUCACUCGUAAUGUUAGGAGUUAGGGAAGUAUGAGCCAUCUACAGAUCUCCUGAACUUUCCAAGGCCAGGAGCUAUUAUGGGUGGGAUACAGCAUUUCUCCAAAAGAGCUCGUUGUUUUGAAGACUCGGUUAUUGAUGGGCUUUAAAAAAACGAUCAGAUCAUUAUCCAUGGAUCGAUGCAGUAAUGAGAUCACAAUUUGUUGGCAUUGUGAUGAAAAUGAAAGGUGGGAGCCUAUUGGUCCGGCAUGACCUUGGGGACUGUAUUUUGCCCAGUGUCCUUUUCUCUGACUCCUGAUUGCCACAAAGUAAGCCAUUUUCAUCCACCACACCCUCCUGCACAAUGUUUCAGCCUCUCCACAGCCCUAAAAACAGUGCAGCAGUUUCAACUGAACUAGGAGCCAAAGAAUCUUCCCUUCUUUAAAUUGUGUUUUCUCUGCUAUUUGGUCCCCACUAUGCAAACAAACUGACACAGUAGCCCAGCCUUAUCAUGCUGGUGUCCCUUGGCUAGCAUGCUUCUGCCACAGAAGUAUGAGGUGAGAUGUCCACAGCCUGGGACUGGUUCCCUGAACAAGAGCAGUCACCUUGCAGGAGUCCUCUUCAAGUGUAAGAGGGUUUGAGCCUCACACAUAUUCGAGGUCAAAAUACAAGUAUUUAUUAGACUGACUGUUAGGUAUCAAGUACUAUUCCUGGACUUGAUUAAUCCAUGCACACGAGCUGUAGCUGUAACGCUGUCCUUAUCUUAAGGAGUUCCAGAGAGAUGUGGAAGUUGUGGAAGGUCGCAGAGCCGAGUGUAUGGUCUUGAUUCAGCUGGCCCUAAGAAGCAUUCAUUACCAUCCAGGUCCUUUCUUGUUUUUUCCAUGUCCUUGCUAAUCUACUUUACUGCCACAAUCAAGGGAACUCACAAAACACCCCAAGCUUCUGUUAACUCAGAUCGAUAAUGACAGAAUAGUAGCUUGAGGUAAUGAUAUCCGUGCCGCUGUGUAUGCUGGCGCCAUGGAGAUUUUUCUGCAGAAUGGAGUCACUGCUAAUGUGAACAAGUUGGGGGUUUCGUGUUGGUCCCCAGUACAGCACAGCAGGUUGGGCUCACUGCCUGCUGCCCCUGCCACACGGCACCUGCUGGGCAGCUUGCUGUCUACCCUGUUUAACUUGCCUCCCGAGAACCAUAAGUCUUUUGGAUAAUGCGGAAAUGGGCCAGUCAGUUCCUGACUGCUUAUAAUGCAACUGUCAAGAACACAGAAUUGAAAGCACUACAGAUGCUCCCCGCUUUGAAAGUAACUGAGUACUGUGUCUGAAAUUAAAAUGUGUCAAACAUCCUCAGGUACACACUGUGCAAAAGGGUUCUCAUAUGUACAAAAGGCUUAACCAAAAAGUCCCUCAAAUGAUGCGCUCAUUUACAUUGUGAUUUUUUUUUUUAUAAACUUGAUGGAAAUGUAGCUGACACACCCAGGGUGACCCUGCUGUGUUCCAAGGCCCCUGGUCAAGGAUGAUGGCAGUGUUGUAGUGGCAGCAGUGUGCUUAGAUGCUAGCACUGUUUAAUAGUUUUGGAGUCUGAGAAGCUUGGGUUCAAACCCUGGUCCUUGUAAGUGCUAGCUAGACAUGUUUGGGGCUAUUUGCACAACUUCUUUGGGCCUCAAUUUCUUUUUCUGUAAAAUGACAUUGUCUGAGAAUAAAAUCUUGUGUGUGUAUACCAUAUGUAUUUUUAUAUUAUCAUCUGUGUCACUUAAACAUGGUAUUUGGCACAUUAAAAUCACUUGCAUUUAGUAUAACAACAAGUUUUAUCUGCGUGGUAAUCGCCAAGAAAUGCUCUUGAAACUUCCUCUCAUUGAUGACUUGAUCACUUUUAUAUUUCUUGAGCAGCUCAUGAUAUCCAAGAGGCCAGUGCCCUAAGAUAGGUGGCAUUUUCUCCUGGAAGUAGCUGCCUAAGUUUGAAAGAAAGGAAUUACUCUGAGCCAUUGCCUGGUAACAGUGACUGUGAUGGUACCCGGAAUUCAUGCCUGCCUGAGUGUGUGGUGUGGAUCUGUGCAGAGCUUGGGCUCAGGUGCCUCCAGAGACAAAGAUGAUCCCUCCUGAUGUGAGCCCGCUGCCCUCCCAGCUCUCAGCACGGGCUCCCAUAGCCCACGCAGGAAAGGUGGGUGCUGAGUGCUGUUACUUGCAAGGGAGGCUCAGUGGGGAAUCUCCUUUCUCUCCUGCCUUGCACUCCUUACCCUCUGUUACCAUCACCCCAGACCUUUCUUCCCCUGCACCGACAGUAGAAGUAGACAGAGCUGCUUCUUUCCCUGCCUUUUGUGGGAGACCUGAUGACCCCACUUGGCGUUGCCCAGGGGUAUGCCCUGCUCUCUCCUGUGUUCCUUAUCUGCAUCUUUUGAUUUUGAGUUUGGGGGCACACAGGGUAGAGUGCAUUGUUGGCCUUCCUGUUAGCAUCCAGGGUGCUGGGCCACGAGAGCCCUUCCCUUCUCCUCCCUUUCUCCCCAGCUUGUAGGAUGCAGCUGUGGUGACAAGACAAGCCAUCUCUGAUCUGUGGGUUGAGGUGACACUAUACAGAGUGACGUGCUCUGGAAAGGUGAGUUGGUUCCUGGAGACCAGGCAGUCUCUACCUUGCCCCAUCUUGCAGACCAUAGCAAGCAGAAACACUCCCUUUCAAAGCCACUAUACCUUUGGUUCCUGGAUAACUGAUGAUCUAGGAUUGUGUACACACACACACACACACACAUACAUGCAUGCACUUACACAUAUGCACACAUGCACACAUGCACUGUCAUUUCCUUUUGACUAAAGAUUCUAGCUGAAUCGCUGACUUACACAAUCAAAAGUUGCUUUUGACCCCUUCUGUGAGCAUCUGGGAACACUGUAUAUGGCUUGAUUACUAAUGCACCAUAAAAGACUGCAAACAUGUACAAGAAUAAAAGAAAGGGAUCAUGAAAUGGAUGGAGAGGAAAAGGGAUGGAAAGGGGAGGAAAGAGGAAUGAUGUGGGCAUGUACCACCUUCCCCACGGGAAUGUAAGCAUUAUGUUCUACACACAUGUACUAAUGAAAAAGGAGAGAGGCAGGAUUUGGAGUUAGAGAAAUGCAGAUUUGAGUUCUGGCCCUGCAGCUUAUUAGCUGUGUGACCUUGAGGAAAUUAAUGAACUUCAGGAAGCUUGGUUUCCUCAUCUGUAAAAUGGAAUGGUAAUGCUUGUGUCAUGGUUUAUGUCAGUGGCCCCCAAGGCUCAUGCAAUUAUAGAUUCAACCAAGUCUAGCAUUUGUGAUUGGUUCAUUGUCUAGUUCUCAGAUUGGUGGUGUGAGUGCUAUAUCUGCCUAGGGGUGGAGCCAGCAUAUGAUGUAAAGACAGGAAGAAGGUGAGUCUGGCUCUUUUGCUUUCAUUUUUGCUGUUUUCAGUGGCCCUGAAGGGCUGCCCUGCCAUGCCAGGCUGCCUUGGAGCCAAAUGAAUAUGGACUGAAACCUCUAAGAACUGUGCUGGCCCCAAUUGCUGGCUGAUUUUUAAGGUUCUUCUUACUCUUUGACUAUCAGCACAUUGAGACAUAGAAAUGCCGUUGGCUUUGGCCAAUUUGCCCAGUAGUUCAAGGAUAAAGCAACUUAAAGUCUAUAAAGAAAGUUGCAUUUAGAAAAAAGCAGAUAUAUCAGUGAUUUUGAUCAGCAAUCAAAGCUACUCCUCUGAGGACCGAACCUCAUUCACUGCCUGCUAUUGUUGAAUCUGGAAGCUAAAAAUAGAUUUAAAUUUAAAGUGUAAUGUUUUGUGACUUGUAAAAAUUAUGUGAAAUUCAGGCUACAGUGUCCUUAAAUGUUCAUUCAAACACAAUCAUAUCUCUGUUCCUAUUUUGUCUUUGCUUCUUUCUUGCUGCAGAGAAAGGGCUGAAUAGUUGGCUACAGAAAUCCUGGGGCCUAAGAAUUGAAAGUACCUUCUACCUGGAGCUUGGGAAAUGAAAACUAGGGUUUGACAUAGGAACACCACCAAAUUAACUUAUUUCCUUCGCCAGCUGCUUUUACUUCUUAGGCUUAAUUUCCUGAUGUGUCAUGUCCUAGGAUUUUAAGGACCUGAAGGAACUGUAUGUUGAACUAUGUAUGUGUAUAUGCAGUAUAUUGGAAAGGAUGCAAGUUUGUGAUAUGUUGCUUAUUGAGAAACCUCAUCUCUCACAGAACAUAACUUUUUGAGACAAUUUUUGGCUUUAAUAUCUUCUUGGAAAAAAUACUAAAUGCAUUUAUAUAUACAUAUGUAUAUUACACAUACUAUAUCAGUAAAUAUAUUGUAGAACUAUGGGCAAUAAAGUCUUAAAAGAGAAGUGACCUGGGUGGUGGAAUUGUAGAUGAUUUUCAUGUCAUAUAGACUUGUUCUUUUAGAUUAAGGAUUUUUAUUUCUAGUUUCAUGCAUCGAGCAUAUAAUUAGAGAAGGUAUUUGAAAGGAAAAAAAGAGUAGAAACGUAAUAUAAAGAUAGAAGGAGCAGAAAUAAAUCAGUUUGUGCCUUUUGAGCCCCAGUCCUGUGUGGUGAUGAGGAGGGAGAAGAUUCCCUGCCACGAUGUCCCUGUGUGUCUGGUUCUGAUGCUCUAUAGGCCGCCUAGAAGCCGUGCAUCGGGCUGGCAUCAGCUGUGUGCUGUGGAGAUUGUGCCCAGGACCUGUGGCUUCGCAGGUCCCAGAGCUUCCCCAAUGCUGUGUGGCCUGUGGUGAGCCAAGGGCAUAUCAGCUCCACCUUGUCCACUGUUUGUGGCCAGAUCUGCUUCUUAAGAGCAUCCAAUCUGGGACUCUUUACCAGGCCUGCAGGGCCCUGCAGCCUGUGGCUUUGGACAUCAGGCUUCUGUCCAUGGAAGCUGUGCAGGAGAGCUGCAAAGGUGUGAUAGCAGGGUGUAUGAAAGCUGACUCCCCUCCAGGGCAUGUGCCCAAUCUUGGGGAAGAGAGUCACGUUGCUUGGCCCAGGAUUUGUCACUCCAUGCCCGUAGCUCCUUACUCUGUGUGGAGCCACCCUUUGCAUGACAGGGCUGUUUUGAAGCCCUAAGAGGUGUGUGGCUUGCACACUCGUUCCUCUGUUCUCCAGAGCCCGAGCAGACCAGAUGCCCUGCAGAAGGCACCCCAGCAGUUGUCCUUGGAGAAGCACACUGUGUCCAGCUUCACACUAUACCACUGAGUGGACAGCCUAGGUGUAAAUGCAGCAGUCAGAAACCAACAAAAAGGAAAUCAAGGAGACUGUGUGUCAUUGAGCCCCAUUAGAGUAAAGCCAGUUUGCCACAGUGAAUCCUCAACUCACACUGUGCUGUUGUUCCCUAGGUGAAAGAUGGACCAGGCUGUAGCUCUUAGAGAUGGUUGGACACUCCAGGCAGUCAGGUGUGGCUGGGAGCCAGCUCUGGGCCACUCACAUUUGCUGAGUACCCUUGCACGUGGUCCCUGGUCUUGAAAAGCUUUGGUUUCCUCAUCAGUAAGAGGAAAAUGGAACAGUACUGGCUGGGUGGCAUUGGGACAAUAAAUGGUGAUAGCUCAGUAGAGCUUGUGGGGUGCAGCGAUGCUCAGGAGUUUAACUCAUACUUCCUUUGGCACAUUUAGCCCUCAAAACAAUAGCAGAGUGCCUGCUUGUGUUUGCUCUCCUUAGAAACUAGAAUGCCCAAGGUGAAUUUAGGAACAACACGUGUCUUCUUUUAAAAAUCUCUGUUUACUAGUGAAAUCUUCCUCAAAUCCAAAAAUCACUCUUUUUUCUCCUAUUUCAUCAAGGGAAUAGUAAUAAGAAUGAUAGCAACAAAUACUCAAAUUAGGCUUUGCACUAGUAAUUGUGUUCAUCUCACCCCACUCACCCUAUGGAAAUGGAUUACUGUCCCCAUUUUGUAUAUUAGGAAGCUGAAAUCCCUUGGGAAGUUUGAGUAACUUCCCAAAGGCUUUGCAGCUAAUCGGUGGUAGCAUUGGGAUUGAAACCCGGGCCAUCUGGUGCUAACCCCCUGGCAGUAGCCACUGUGUCAGUUUUCUAGGUAGCAAUCCUUCUGACAUAGUCACUAGCUUGCUGCUUAGGAACCAGCAUCGAUAGCUGAGCACAUUCAAAGCAAGGUUCCAGUCCGGCUGUGGCAGGAAAUGAGUCAUGCCUAUUCCUUGAAUGCUUACUUUC
This is a long non-coding RNA of Cavia porcellus (domestic guinea pig), 18586 nucleotides long. RefSeq lists it as uncharacterized. The transcript has 4 exons. The record is from RefSeq and is a predicted model, not a curated record. Lineage: Eukaryota; Metazoa; Chordata; Mammalia; Rodentia; Caviidae.